This 211-nucleotide ribosomal RNA is filed under the name Acinetobacter baumannii. RNAcentral's name for it is "partial 23S ribosomal RNA". It matches the Rfam family "Bacterial large subunit ribosomal RNA", at positions 1133 to 1344 of the family's 2925-position model. The record is from RNAcentral. Lineage: Bacteria; Pseudomonadati; Pseudomonadota; Gammaproteobacteria; Moraxellales; Moraxellaceae.
CGUAAUAGCUCACUAGUCGAGUCGGCCUGCGCGGAAGAUGUAACGGGGCUAAAACUAUGUGCCGAAGCUGCGGAUGUAUACUUUGUAUACGUGGUAGGGGAGCGUUCUGUAAGCCGAUGAAGGUGUGUUGAGAAGCAUGCUGGAGGUAUCAGAAGUGCGAAUGCUGACGUGAGUAACGACAAAACGGGUGAAAAACCCGUUCGCCGAAAGA